CAUAUGUUUGAUAACAGCUGAAAGCCUCUCAAGCUGAAAUCAUAGCUGAAUCAUAUUUCCUUUGGCGAUAGCUUAAAACCUACUUCUCCUUAACGUGAGGUAGGAUCCAAGCACUAACUGGUCUUGUACAUGUGCUUGACUCCUUGGUUAUGGUUUCGUGAACUUUACCGACGGAUAGGUGCGCUUCUCCUGCAGAGUAGCUUUUUAUGGUCGUUAUCAUUAUAAGCCUUAUUAUGAUCGCAAGGUC
RNAcentral lists this ribosomal RNA (247 nucleotides) under Mastigamoeba balamuthi. RNAcentral's name for it is "partial LSU rRNA". Lineage: Eukaryota; Evosea; Mastigamoebida; Mastigamoebidae. The record is from RNAcentral.